GGAGCUUUUUAAGCGAACACUGUGUAGGCAAAUUUUAUCUCUGUGACGUGUACUAUAUUCGUGAAUGUUACUAUGUGAUUUAAAAUUCUCUAUGUUAGAUUUUAUAUAAUUUAAACACUGAUAAAUAUACAUACAAGGAACAACCUCCUACUAUACGGAUAGCUCGACGUUGUAAUCUGAAAAUUGUAGAAAUGGAAGCAGAAUGACCCCAUACUAAUAGUCCAUAACUGAUGUGACACUGGCAUAAUGAAUAAAAUGCAGUUUUUAGAGUUUUAGGAGGAACUUGAUCUUUUAAAUUGCGAAGUGCAAAAAUACCACUACAAAGUAAUUUUGCAACCUUUUCUGAAUGUGUAUUAAACCUCAAUGAGGAGUCAAGAAAGAUUCCUAAAAAUUUUGUAGAUCCUUCCACAAAAUCUAUUUUUUUCUUUAAUGAAAAAACCAAUGUAUUUGUUUUAUUUUUGUUUAAUGUUAAUUUACUGGAUUCGAACCAAGACAAAGCCUUUGACUGUGCAUCAUCUACGAUUUUUAACGCUGUAGACAGAUUUUCGUUUUUUUCCAUUAGAGUUGUAUCAUCUGCAAAAUGUAUACUUUUAUUUCCCAUGUAUGAAGAAAAAUCAUUUAUAUAAAUAAUAAAAAGAAGUGGCCCGAGUACAGAGCCUUGGGGCACUCCUAAUUCAACACGAUUUUUGCCUGAGUCAAUUCCUUUGUGUCUUACAAGCUGUGAUCUGUUGCUUAAAAAUGAUGCUAUCAUUUUACAACUACUAGGUAGCAAGUUAUAAAAAUAUAAUUUUCGUAAUAAAAUGUGGUGAUGAACGCAGUCAAAAGCCUUGGAGAGGUCAAGAAAAGUUCCUAUACCAUAGCUUCCUUCUUCCAAACAAUCUGUCAUAUAUUUUACAAAUUUGGUAACUGCACUAAUUGUAUUUCGGCCCUGUCUAAGGCAAAUAAAUCAUUAUUAGUAUUAUAUUUGGAAGUAAGAAAACGGUAUAAGAAAAAGUGUGAAAAAAAAGCAAGAAGAUGAGGUAAACAAAAUAAAGGAAGUUAGAACAGAAUCAGAAGUGGAAAUUUGUAAAUAAAGAAAGAAAAGGUAAAGACAAAAAAAAAACGAAAAUAUAAGUAUGGAAAAAUCGAAAGAUAACUUUAUGGAACUUACAAAAAAGAAUACAUUUUAAAAGAGUUUACUAAGUUUCUGUUUCAGGGGUUAUUAUAGUCAUUAUUCAUUACACAGUACUUUGUUUCCAGUUCAGUAAAACCAAAUAGUAAUCAUAAAUGUAUUUGACUGGUCAAACUACAACAAAUCAAUAACAAUUAAAUUAUUACAAUCAUAACUCGUAACUAAUUUCCACACGUCUCCUCUAACCCAUCGAUCCCUUCGACGUC
Molecule: long non-coding RNA, 1377 nt
Organism: Tribolium castaneum (red flour beetle)
Lineage: Eukaryota; Metazoa; Arthropoda; Insecta; Coleoptera; Tenebrionidae
Exons: 2
Source: RefSeq, a predicted model, not a curated record